AUCGAGACGAUCCGGCCGAAGGCUUCGGUCAGGAGCGAAGCGCGGC
RNAcentral lists this small RNA (46 nucleotides) under Sinorhizobium meliloti 2011. Its description in RNAcentral is "putative ncRNA". The record is from RNAcentral. Lineage: Bacteria; Pseudomonadati; Pseudomonadota; Alphaproteobacteria; Hyphomicrobiales; Rhizobiaceae.